Molecule: small RNA, 28 nt
Filed under: Bombyx mori (domestic silkworm)
Lineage: Eukaryota; Metazoa; Arthropoda; Insecta; Lepidoptera; Bombycidae
Description: ovarian small RNA-31495
Source: RNAcentral
UGACCAAAGUAAAUUGAAAGUAAUCGUU